Molecule: ribosomal RNA, 531 nt
Filed under: Dothideomycetes sp. AL-35
Lineage: Eukaryota; Fungi; Ascomycota; Dothideomycetes
Description: eukaryotic LSU rRNA
Rfam family: Eukaryotic large subunit ribosomal RNA
Source: RNAcentral
CCUUGUAACGGCGUAGUGAACAGCAAUAGCUCAAAUUUGAAAUCUGGCGUCUUCGARGUCCGAGUUGUAAUUUGUAGAGGAUGCUUCUGAGUAACCACCGACCUAAGUUCCUUGGAACAGGACGUCAUAGAGGGUGAGAAUCCCGUAUGCGGUCGGAAGGGCCAUACGUAGCUCCUCGACGAGUCGAGUGUUUGGAAGCAGCUCUAAUGGGAGGUAAAUUCUUCUAAGCUAAAUAUUGGCCAGAGACCGAUAGCGCACAAGUAGAGUGUCGAAAAUGAAAAGCACUUUGGAAAGAGAGUUAAAAAGCACGUGAAAUUGUUAAAAGGGAAGGGAUUGCAACCAGACUUGCUCGCGGUGUUCCGCCGGUCUUCUGACCGGUCUACUCGCCGCGUUGCAGGCCAGCAUCGUCUGGUGCCGCUGGUAAAGACUUGAGGAAUGUAGCUCCCUCGGGAGUGUUAUAGCCUCUUGGAUGGAGCGAGCGCCGGGCGAGUCCGCGCUCGGUAGAAGCUGCGUAAGGUCGAUCCGCCUCCG